AGCGUUAGCAGGGUGGACUGGAUGGGCCAUAUGCCAGAUCCUUUGAUUUCUAUUUGCCACCACACGAACUGACACUGCUGCCCAGAAGCAUUCCCCUGCACAUCCACAUCACAGCCCUCCUGCUGGCAGCUUGGAAUUUAGACCUUUUACUCUCAAUGCUCCAGGAAACCAGAUGUACUUCUUUCUUUCUUGUCCAUUGGUGAUAUCCUUGACAAUGUAGUUUAGGAAGCCCCGUGUGUUGCUUUGUGUGUGCAUCAGUCUCUCGAGAACCCCCUGUGAAUCAGGAGGCAUACGUUCCAGUGACUAUAGGGAGUCGAGGGGCUAAAGAGGAAGCUGAUGCUUACAACAAUGGAGAUUAGCAAUACCUGGACAGAGUUGAGCUUCAAAGGAUACUGAGAAAUAGCUAAAGCAGAUGAUAAAGAAAAAAUGAGGAAAUGCUGUGAAGAACUAAUAGAACGUUUCAGAAGCAGAACAAGUCGAGAGCAGUGAUGACCCUUUUGUUCCUGCUAGUACCUCCUGUCUGUCUGGCCGAACUCACCAUCAGAUGAUGUCUUGAACCUCACCUAGAUGGGCUGGUGGUGUGUGGCCAGGUUAAGAGCACCAACAGGAGUAAGAAAGUGACCUGCCUGGUUUUACCGUGUGUACUAGGGGAGGGGUUGAAAGCUUUCGGUUGAUACAUCACCUCUGGGAGUUGAAGAAGAAUGCAAUUAAGAGAGCUAAAGAAGUCAGUAGGUAUCUCUCCUGAACAAUUCUGGUUUUCUUCUAAUAGCUUUUACAAUUUUUACCUCUGUUAUGAAAUGCAAACUUUUAACCAAUAUUAGUAAUAGUAAUCUCAAAUCUCAUCAUCAUCAAAAUCUUAUUUAUGAAAUAUAGGAGUUAGUUCAUAUACAGCCUUAGCCUUUUCCACAUUAUAAAAUAUAUUCCAUAUAUAUGUGUGAUCUUCAUUUAAUAUUCAAGUAAAUGUUGUAAGAUAUUGUUAUUUUUAUUCUAACAUUUCACAGGUAUAGAAUCUGAAACUCAGAGGUCAACUGAUGUGUCAAAGAUACCUCCACAAAUCAGUACCUUGAUUAAAACUAAAAUUGGAGUCAUCUUCAUAUCUCCAUCUUUCUCCCUCUUCAUUAGGACCGAUUGUAGUCUGUUUCCCUCUCACUCACUUGCAAUCUUUAUUGCUUUAGUGUUGCAUUUGAUUUUUAUCUUUGUUUUUGUUUUAAAUACUGUCAUUAAAGUCAUAGAAAAAUCUAAAAUAAAACUGGUUGAAUAAAAAUUUUAAAAUCGACUCUAAUGUAAUAAACCAGACAAAAAUGAUACUUUAAAUGUUAUAUCUUCCCUUUAAACUACAAAUAUUCAUUGAGUGUAUACCCUGUAUUAGGCUGUUGGAAUAAAACAGGGAAGAAGACAGAAGAAACUGCACCGCCAUCUUAGAUCUUGCAGCCAAAUUCCUCUGAACUUUUCUCUAAAGACGUGCUCUGGAAAAAUGUUGAUCAUUUUCCUACAUCAUGGAGGUCUUUUCAUGACCACCUUUGUCUAGACAAUGUCCUGUUUUUAGGUGCACGUUUGAGGGCUGGAGUCUCUGACCCACAGUGCUGCAGCCUGCACGUGGUUUGUCCUGACUUCUUUGCUACUUCACUUUUCGUAAGGCUCUGAGAGUGCAGGCCCUUGUGGGUGGACACUGCAGGGUGAGAGGAAGAAGUAAACUACUUUUUUCCGUUUCUGAUGGGGGUGUGGGUCAGCAGCUAUAAGCAACAGGGACCAUGGGGGGCCUCAGACUUCAGCACCUGAGAGGCAGUUUCAGUCGUAUUGGGGAGAUGCAGGCAUCUGGGUUGCUGCACAUCACCAGGGCAGGGUUCUCUCAGCAGCCCUGGAGUGCAGAGUUCCCAUCAGCUCAGCAGUGAGGGGCACAUGGGGCUCCAGUGGUGAGGACUCUUGGUCCUUGGAUGACAACACUCCCCUGCCCACUUCUCCAGCCUUCCCUGUAACCCUUUGCCACCUCUAACCAAUCUUCUGUGUUACAUCUCUUCGGUUUGCAAUAUGUAGUGUUCGUAUAUGACUGGACAGUAUCUACUGGAGUUAAUAUCUAUCAGAGUAAUUAUAUCACAAUUGCAAUCUUCUCCUAAGAGUGAAUAGUGACAUUAAAAAUUUCAACAUUAUAAAUUAUGCAGAAAUAAAACUAAUUAUACAAAAAAUACACUCUGAAUGUCAGUUUUUCCCUGAGACAAUCUACCAUUUGAUAUACGGUGAUUCACACUUCUUAAUAUACAACAUUGAAUUACUUUUCCAAAAGCCUCUUCAAAUUUUGCUGCAGAAUUAAACUUCACUUGCACCAGCUCUGAAUUAUGUGUGCUUUUCCUUCUUGGUCAAUUUCAUAGGUGUAUCAUUAUUUGUCUUUUUUAAUUAAUAUGUUUAUAUAACUUUUCAUGUUUAUCCA
RNAcentral lists this long non-coding RNA (2425 nucleotides) under Homo sapiens (human). RNAcentral describes it as "HSALNT0299668". The record is from RNAcentral. Lineage: Eukaryota; Metazoa; Chordata; Mammalia; Primates; Hominidae.